GAUGAACGCUGGCGGCGUGCUUAACACAUGCAAGUCGAACGAAGCACUUUUGACAGAUUCUUCGGAUGAUGGAUUUAGUGACUGAGUGGCGGACGGGUGAGUAACGCGUGGGUAACCUGCCUCAUACAGGGGGAUAACAGUUAGAAAUGACUGCUAAUACCGCAUAAGCGCACGGUAUCGCAUGAUACAGUGUGAAAAACUCCGGUGGUAUGAGAUGGACCCGNGUCUGAUUAGCUAGUUGGUGAGGUAACGGCUCACCAAGGCAACGAUCAGUAGCCGGCCUGAGAGGGUGAACGGCCACAUUUGGGACUGAGACA
This 317-nucleotide ribosomal RNA is filed under the name uncultured bacterium. Its description in RNAcentral is "bacterial SSU rRNA". It matches the Rfam family "Bacterial small subunit ribosomal RNA", at positions 28 to 326 of the family's 1533-position model. The record is from RNAcentral.